RNAcentral lists this ribosomal RNA (253 nucleotides) under uncultured bacterium. RNAcentral's name for it is "partial 16S ribosomal RNA". It matches the Rfam family "Bacterial small subunit ribosomal RNA", at positions 524 to 776 of the family's 1533-position model. The record is from RNAcentral.
UACGUAGGGUGCGAGCGUUAAUCGGAAUUACUGGGCGUAAAGCGUGCGCAGGCGGUGAUGUAAGACAGAUGUGAAAUCCCCGGGCUUAACCUGGGAAUUGCAUUUGUGACUGUACGGCUAGAGUGUGUCAGAGGGGGGUAGAAUUCCACGUGUAGCAGUGAAAUGCGUAGAGAUGUGGAGGAACACCAGUGGCGAAGGCGGCCGCCUGGGCCUUUGCUGACGCUGAGCCGCGAAAGCGUGGGGAGCGAGCCGG